CCAGCCAGUACCUUCUCAUGAGGAAGAAUCAAUUUCCAAGGUACUGAAUAAACCCUUGGGCUCUGCUGUGGAGAGGUGACCACCCAUAAAAACGGAUGUGAAAAGACUGUAAGGUGAGCUGUCAUCUUAGUGGACAUGAACAAACAAGGAGUGAAGGCAGAGAGUGGCUGUGGAUGUAUUUCCAACCCUCAUGCAGGGACUGGCAGCUCCCGCUCAGCAGGUCUGGUGUUUGCAUCUGGCUGAUCCAUGGACAGAACAUGGCUUUUCCAUUUCCCAACUUGAGGUGUAUAACCAACACAGCUCUGUGCUGUGCCAUGUGGCCUUACUGGUCAGCCUUGAACACUCAAAGAAAAAUCUGCCUGCUCUGAAUAUUGCCUGAGGAUUUAGAAAGGUCUUUCUUGGAAACAGAAGAAUGAGAUGAAACAAUCAUCUGUAAAGCAUGGAGAGCGGUAUGCUGUACACAGCGUGCUGUACACAGGAGGAGGAGGAUAAAGAAUGACAUGCUACUCUAAUACACUUAAAAAUCUUGCUAUCUCUGUAAUGGGCCUUAUUAGCACUCAGAGGAGCUGGCGUGAGUUGGAUGGCAGUAGCACAUGCCAUUCUGCUGUGCUAGAAAUCUCAGCUCGUGGAGAAGGA
Molecule: non-coding RNA, 636 nt
Organism: Phalacrocorax carbo (great cormorant)
Lineage: Eukaryota; Metazoa; Chordata; Aves; Suliformes; Phalacrocoracidae
Source: RefSeq, a predicted model, not a curated record